UUUCCGUAGGUGAACCUGCGGAAGGAUCAUUAUCAUGUAAUUCAGUCCCCUUGGCUGUGUUAUAUAUAUACCCACUCUGUGUACCUUCUCCUGUUGCUUCCGCUGGGUGUGUAAUUCGCCCGGCGGAAGGGUAAAAAUAACCUCUGAGUAUUGAUGAAAUCUCUGUCUGAACCGAAUAAAAAGAAAAAUGUUAAAACUUUCAGCAACGGAUCUCUUGGUUCUC
RNAcentral lists this unclassified non-coding RNA (223 nucleotides) under plant metagenome. RNAcentral describes it as "partial contains small subunit ribosomal RNA, internal transcribed spacer 1, and 5.8S ribosomal RNA". The record is from RNAcentral.